UGGCUCAGGACGAACGCUGGCGGCGUGCCUAACACAUGCAAGUCGAGCGAGGAGAUCCUCGGGAUGAUCCUAGCGGCGGACGGGUGAGUAACACGUGGGCAACCUGCCUCAUAGAGAGGAAUAGCCUUCCGAAAGGGAGAUUAAUACCUCAUAACAUUGCAGUUUCGCAUGAAACAGCAAUUAAAGGAGCAAUCCGCUAUGAGAUGGGCCCGCGGCGCAUUAGCUAGUUGGUGAGGUAACGGCUCACCAAGGCGACGAUGCGUAGCCGACCUGAGAGGGUGAUCGGCCACAUUGGGACUGAGACACGGCCCAGACUCCUACGGGAGGCAGCAGUGGGGAAUAUUGCACAAUGGGGGAAACCCUGAUGCAAGCAACGCCGCGUGAGUGAUGACGGCCUUCGGGUUGUAAAGCUCUGUCUUCAGGGACGAUAAUGACGGUACCUGAGGAGGAAGCCACGGCUAACUACGUGCCAGCCGCAGC
Molecule: ribosomal RNA, 480 nt
Filed under: uncultured bacterium
Lineage: Bacteria
Description: bacterial SSU rRNA
Rfam family: Bacterial small subunit ribosomal RNA
Source: RNAcentral